GAUGUGCAAUUUGCAUUCGGUGGCGAGGGCAGCAUAGAAUCGAGCUGCGAAGUCGGAUUUUGCAUUGCUUGAGCCGGAGGUGCAAGGGGGGGGGAGAAGCGAUUAGAGUCGGUGCAUCAGGGUCGGCGCGCCCGGGCCCGGGCUGCGGGUUGAUGGACAGCUGCGCGGACCCUGGAUCCGGGCUGCAGCGGCAAUGAAGCAGCGCCGCCGCCGCCGCCGCUUGCAGCAAACCCGAGGCACCAUUGCAACCGAGCAGAAUGCAUGUGCAAAUCUGACCAUCCCGCGCCCUCAAAUGCAAGGGCUGGCCUCGUGUGUGAGGAGAUCUGACUAAAGAUGGCAGCAAGCAGCCCGGAGAGUGGCUGCAAACACUCAUAAACGUAUCCAGGUGUGUGGCAGGUGAUUGCGGUGACGAGCUCAGCUCCAGGGGCAGCAAGGUGCUUGACCAGACAACGAUGGCUGUACAACUCAUGGCUGAGCCUCCCUUCAGCUUGCUCACGGUAAGAGAGGCUCCUCACUCCACACAGCGAACUCUUCACCACGCCCCGCAGGAGAUGGAGGCUUUUAUUUUAAUGUUUAACCCAUCAAAAUGCAGAAACGCCCCCUUUUAUACCUGA
This is a long non-coding RNA of Amblyraja radiata (thorny skate), 614 nucleotides long. RefSeq lists it as uncharacterized. The record is from RefSeq and is a predicted model, not a curated record. The transcript has 3 exons. NCBI's taxonomy places the organism in Eukaryota, Metazoa, Chordata, Chondrichthyes, Rajiformes, Rajidae.